Molecule: ribosomal RNA, 429 nt
Filed under: Pseudomonadota bacterium
Lineage: Bacteria; Pseudomonadati; Pseudomonadota
Description: Proteobacteria bacterium partial 16S ribosomal RNA
Rfam family: Bacterial small subunit ribosomal RNA
Source: RNAcentral
UGGGGAAUAUUGGACAAUGGGCGAAAGCCUGAUCCAGCCAUGCCGCGUGUGUGAAGAAGGUCUUCGGAUUGUAAAGCACUUUAAGUUGGGAGGAAGGGCAGUAAGCGAAUACCUUGCUGUUUUGACGUUACCGACAGAAUAAGCACCGGCUAACUCUGUGCCAGCAGCCGCGGUAAUACAGAGGGUGCAAGCGUUAAUCGGAAUUACUGGGCGUAAAGCGCGCGUAGGUGGUUCGUUAAGUUGAAUGUGAAAGCCCCGGGCUCAACCUGGGAACUGCAUCCAAAACUGGCGGGCUAGAGUAGGGCAGAGGGUGGUGGAAUUUCCUGUGUAGCGGUGAAAUGCGUAGAUAUAGGGAGGAACACCAGUGGCGAAGGCGACCACCUGGGCUCAUACUGACACUGGGGUGCGAAAGCGUGGGGAGCAAACAGG